GGGCCGAUAGAUCAAUGGUAGAUCGCCGCUUUCGCAAAGCGGAGGUUCCGGGUUCAAAUCCCGGUCGGUCCA
Molecule: transfer RNA, 72 nt
Rfam family: tRNA
About the family: Transfer RNA (tRNA) molecules are approximately 80 nucleotides in length. Their secondary structure includes four short double-helical elements and three loops (D, anti-codon, and T loops). Further hydrogen bonds mediate the characteristic L-shaped molecular structure. tRNAs have two regions of fundamental functional importance: the anti-codon, which is responsible for specific mRNA codon recognition, and the 3' end, to which the tRNAs corresponding amino acid is attached (by aminoacyl-tRNA synthetases). tRNAs cope with the degeneracy of the genetic code in two manners: having more than one tRNA (with a specific anti-codon) for a particular amino acid; and 'wobble' base-pairing, i.e. permitting non-standard base-pairing at the 3rd anti-codon position.